This 429-nucleotide ribosomal RNA is filed under the name Gemmatimonadota bacterium. RNAcentral describes it as "Gemmatimonadetes bacterium partial 16S ribosomal RNA". It matches the Rfam family "Bacterial small subunit ribosomal RNA", at positions 355 to 776 of the family's 1533-position model. Lineage: Bacteria; Pseudomonadati; Gemmatimonadota. The record is from RNAcentral.
UAGGGAAUCUUCGGCAAUGGACGAAAGUCUGACCGAGCAACGCCGCGUGAGUGAAGAAGGUUUUCGGAUCGUAAAACUCUGUUGUUAGAGAAGAACAAGGACGUUAGUAACUGCACGUCCCCUGACGGUAUCUAACCAGAAAGCCACGGCUAACUACGUGCCAGCAGCCGCGGUAAUACGUAGGUGGCAAGCGUUGUCCGGAUUUAUUGGGCGUAAAGCGAGCGCAGGCGGUUUCUUAAGUCUGAUGUGAAAGCCCCCGGCUCAACCGGGGAGGGUCAUUGGAAACUGGGUGACUUGAGUGCAGAAGAGGAGAGUGGAAUUCCAUGUGUAGCGGUGAAAUGCGUAGAUAUAUGGAGGAACACCAGUGGCGAAGGCGGCUCUCUGGUCUGUAACUGACGCUGAGGCUCGAAAGCGUGGGGAGCAAACAGG